Molecule: long non-coding RNA, 2103 nt
Organism: Asterias rubens (European starfish)
Lineage: Eukaryota; Metazoa; Echinodermata; Asteroidea; Forcipulatida; Asteriidae
Exons: 4
Source: RefSeq, a predicted model, not a curated record
GUUUACGUUCGACGAGUGAUGACAGAUGUCAGAUUAUUAAUAAGCAUGUUUGGUUUGGACCCUUCAAUGUGGUUGCUCAUAAGUCCUGAGUGUACUCCAAAUCUAAGAAUUAUGCAUACAUUCCUUGGUGACAGGUAAGGAUGGAAAACCAUGUAAUUAAAAACUGAAAGACUGUAAUAAUACAUUCUGUUUUCCUUCGUCGUCGUGCACACCACACUGUAUUUAUUUGUGAACAUGGGAUGGUCACUAGUGUUACUGUUUAGUGUUAGGUAGUGUGACUGCUAGCUGCCAGAGUGAAUGCUGUGGAUGGACGACAGGCAGGCCGACGAUGGUUAAGUGUAGCACUGGCAACUUCAUCAUGUCCUCACAUAAUGACAGGCUUUGACAUGUUCGUGGCUGAAUAGAUGUAGAUGUCUAUGACUAUGGAUGAUCCUCUUCCAUGAUACGACCAAGUUGUUGCAGAUCCCCACCUUACCACAACUGGACUUGCGAGGGCGCCCCAUCAUAUGACGGUCAACUUUGUGUGCUGAGUGCAUCAUCUAAGAUGGAAUAUGACACUAGGAGAACUGCCUACCAACCAGUCAACCAGCACCUCUCCAACAUGGAUGCUUAGUUUCAUCUCUGAGUUGUGACAUGGAGGCUGUGAGAACUGACUACCAGUUAACCAGCACCUCUCCAACAUGGAUGCUUAGUUUCAUCUCUGAGUUGUGACAUGGAGGCUGUGAGAACUGCCUACCAGUUAACCAGCACCUCUCCAGCAUGGAUGCUUAGUUUCAUCUCUGAGUUGUGACAUGGAGGCUGUGAGAACUGCCUACCAGUUAACCAGCACCUCUCCAACAUGGAUGCUUAGUUUCAUCUCUGAGUUGUGACAUGGAGGCUAUGAGAACUGCCUACCAGUCAACCAGCACCUCUCCAACAUGGAUGCUUAGUUUCAUCUCUGAGUUGUGACAUGGAGGCUGUGAGAACUGCCUACCAGUUAACCAGCACCUCUCCAACAUGGAUGCUUAGUUUCAUCUCUGAGUUGUGACAUGGAGGCUGUGAGAACUGCCUACCAGUUAACCAGCACCUCUCCAACAUGGAUGCUUAGUUUCAUCUCUGAGUUGUGACAUGGAGGCUGUGAGAACUGCCUACCAGUCAACCAGCACCUCUCCAACAUGGAUGCUUAGUUUCAUCUCUGAGUUGUGACAUGGAGGCUGGGAGAACUGCCUACCAGUCAACCAGCACCUCUCCAACAUGGAUGCUUAGUUUCAUCUCUGAGUUGUGACAUGGAGGCUGGGAGAACUGCCUACAAGUCAACCAGCACCUCUCCAACAUGGAUGCUUAAUUUUAUCUCUGAGUUGUGACAUGGAGGCUGGGAGAACUGCCUACCAGUCAACCAGCACCUCUCCAACAUGGAUGCUUAGUUUCAUCUCUGAGUUGUGACAUGGAGGCUGGGAGAACUGCCUACCAGUCAACCAGCACCUCUCCAACAUGGAUGCUUAGUUUCAUCUUUGAGUUGAGACAUUGAGGCUGGGAGAACUGCCUACCAGUCAACCAGCACCUCUGCCUACCAGUUAACCAGCACCUCUCCAACAUGGAUGCUUAGUUUCAUCUCUGAGUUGUGACAUGGAGGCUGUGAGAACUGCCUACCAGUUAACCAGCACCUCUCCAACAUGGAUGCUUAGUUUCAUCUCUGAGUUGUGACAUGGAGGCUGGGAGAACUGCCUACCAGUCAACCAGCACCUCUCCAACAUGGAUGCUUAGUUUCAUCUCUGAGUUGUGGCAUAUAAAGUGUGCUGUUGUUUGAGGUAAAGGUCAAUCAAGGGUCAUGCUACAGUGGGAACUUCAUUACAUCUUAAACAUGGUCAGACAUCCAAUUAUUAAAUGGAAUGUGAUGUUUGAUUCCAACAUUGCCAUCUGCUUGUGAUUCCUAUGUGGGGCAGCAACGUUUGGAUUCCUACAUGGACAGCCACACGAGGAUUCUUACAUUGACAGCAAUAUCUGAUUCCUACAUGGACAGCACUGUCAGAUUCCUUUAUGGACAGUAACGCCUGAUUCCUACAUGGACAUUAAAGGAACACGUUGCCUUUGAUCGGUCGAGUUGCUCCUUGAAAAGCGUUCUGU